This 94-nucleotide non-coding RNA is filed under the name Stygamoeba regulata. Lineage: Eukaryota; Discosea; Stygamoebida. The record is from RNAcentral.
AGAAGAAAAGCAGAAAAAGCCGAGAGUUGUUGAGUUGGUUGUUUCAGUGGUUUUUUUUCUUCUUCUUUCUUUUGUUUUUUUUUUUUUUUUUUUU